UCCUACGGGAGGCAGCAGUAGGGAAUAUUGGACAAUGGGUGCGAGCCUGAUCCAGCCAUGCCGCGUGCAGGAAGAAGGCCUUCUGGGUUGUAAACUGCUUUUAUCUGGGGAUAAAAAGAGCGUGCGCGCUCAAUUGAAGGUACCAGAGGAAUAAGCCACGGCUAACUACGUGCCAGCAGCCGCGGUAAU
RNAcentral lists this ribosomal RNA (189 nucleotides) under uncultured bacterium. RNAcentral describes it as "partial 16S ribosomal RNA". It matches the Rfam family "Bacterial small subunit ribosomal RNA", at positions 337 to 524 of the family's 1533-position model. The record is from RNAcentral.